GACGUAGGGGGCAAGCGUUGUCCGGAAUUAUUGGGCGUAAAGCGCUCGUAGGCGGAUCGGUAAGUCUGUGAAGAAAGACCCGGGCUCAACUCGGGGAACGGCAUAGAUACUGCUGAUCUUGAGACAGUCAGAGGAUGAUGGAAUUCCAGGUGUAGCGGUGAAAUGCGUAGAUAUCUGGAGGAACACCGAUGGCGAAGGCAGUGGGCUGGGCCGGCACUGACGCUGAGGAGCGAGAGCGUGGGGAGCGAACAGG
RNAcentral lists this ribosomal RNA (253 nucleotides) under uncultured bacterium. RNAcentral describes it as "partial 16S ribosomal RNA". It matches the Rfam family "Bacterial small subunit ribosomal RNA", at positions 524 to 776 of the family's 1533-position model. The record is from RNAcentral.